RNAcentral lists this ribosomal RNA (465 nucleotides) under uncultured bacterium. RNAcentral describes it as "partial 16S ribosomal RNA". It matches the Rfam family "Bacterial small subunit ribosomal RNA", at positions 339 to 795 of the family's 1533-position model. The record is from RNAcentral.
CUACGGGUGGCAGCAGUGAGGAAUUUUGCGCAAUGGGGGAAACCCUGACGCAGCAACGCCGCGUGAGUGAUGAAGGCCCUCGGGUCGUAAAGCUCUGUCAAGUGGGAAGAAUCUAUCGAUAUUGAAUAGAUAUUGAUACUGACGGUACCACAAGAGGAAGCACCGGGUAACUCCGUGCCAGCAGCCGCGGUAAUACGGGGGGUGCAAGCGUUAUUCGGAAUCAUUGGGCGUAAAGGGCGCGCAGGCGGCCUUGUCAGUCAGAUGUGAAAGCCCGGGGCUCAACCCCGGAAGUGCAUUUGAAACUAUGAGGCUUGAGUAUGGGAGAGGGAAGUGGAAUUCCUGGUGUAGCGGUGAAAUGCGUAGAUAUCAGGAGGAACACCGGUGGCGAAGGCGACUUCCUGGACCAAUACUGACGCUGAGGCGCGAAGGCGUGGGGAGCAAACAGGAUUAGAUACCCUUGUAGUC